This 62-nucleotide ribosomal RNA is filed under the name Masdevallia barlaeana. RNAcentral describes it as "partial 26S ribosomal RNA". Lineage: Eukaryota; Viridiplantae; Streptophyta; Magnoliopsida; Asparagales; Orchidaceae. The record is from RNAcentral.
AUGCGACCCCAGGAUGGGCGAGGCCCCCCGCUGAGUUUAAGCAUAUCAAUAAGCGGAGGAGA